UGUUUGAUUGGUUUCGCAUUGG
This 22-nucleotide non-coding RNA is filed under the name Drosophila melanogaster (fruit fly). The record is from RNAcentral. Lineage: Eukaryota; Metazoa; Arthropoda; Insecta; Diptera; Drosophilidae.